GGUUAAUCGUAAUGUGGAAUCUUCCUCCCUCAGGUCAUUAUUUCAGGAACGAGGUGAAAACUCGACAGUGGCGGCGGCGGUAGGGUGCGCCGGCAGCGUGAACCAUGGCGCCUCCUCCUCCCACAACGAAAUGAAAUGUAGCCAGAAAUCACUGUAUUAGCAGCAGAAAUGGGGCCGAGCGGUCGGCGUACUUCGCCAGGAGAGAGGCGGCGGGGGUACUGCGGCGGGUGCUCCAGGACGACGCCGCCUGCCACGCCACGGCUUCAUUAAAUCCUUCGUUGACUCUCCCUCUGUGCACGAUACUUGUCUGCCAAACCCUCAAGAAAUAGCAAUGACUGGCGCAGUUGAGAAAUUUCUUACCCUUCACAAAAAUAAGCUAGAAUAUGAUUUGUCAAAGAUUUGUGCAAGACAGAUAGUCAAGAAGAUUGAAGAUUUACUCCAAAAUAAUUGUGCUCCUGGGACUUAAGAAUGCAAGAAGUCGAACAGAAGAUGCGGCGGACGAGAAAGAUGACAUGGGAAUCGAGUCGACCUGUUUGGUGCAUCCAAGGGACGAGAAGUUGCGGAAGAGUAUGCCAGUGGAGCGAGAAGGACGCGCGUGACACUUAUGAGGGACGAGAAGCCGGAGCAGAAAUCUGCUUGAGGAGAAGGUCAGAGUUGGGUUUGGGCGAGCUCAAUUCUGAAAGGUCGGAGCAUCACCCAAACGAUCAGAGCGGACAGUCGGACAAAAAGUCAACUCUAAAGUUGACACUUAUCAAGGCACCCGAAGCUAGUCCGGGCACUAGGCAGUUUGGUGCCGAAGAGGCGUCUGUUGCUGUGGAUCAUCACUGAGGCCAUGUCAGCAGAGGUCCGAGCGCCCGGAGAAGGUCCGGGCAUCGGUAGUGGAUAAAUUCUUAUCACUUCACCGUUGUAUAGCCUUUGUGUGAAGAUAGAAUUUGGUUCGCUAGGGGCGCCCGGAGAGGGUCUAAGCAUCCGGACUGUGCCACGUCAGCAAACAAUCACCUCGACCAGUGAGCCUAUAAAAGGAGCCCUGGUGCUCUUCAUUUGAACAUCACUUUCUGUAUUCAAGUUAUUUCACUCUGUUCUUUAAAGUCUGAGAGUCAACGCCCUGCACGAGGUUUUUCCGCCCCCGACUUGUGUCAAAGAAGUCGAUUAGUUGAGCUUUAUUUGCCUUGGAUUAGCAACCUUUCCGGUUGCAAACCAAGUAAAUCGUUUGUAUCUUGUACUUAUUUUAUGCAUUUUAGUUUCUUUUUAUCAAAGUCGUAAGUUUCAAAAAGGGUAUACUUGUUUGUUUAGGAAAAUUGACCCUCCUCUUGCCGGUCGCACGGGACCUACAUAGUAUAACUCUGAAACCUUGCUUACUUUGGCAAAUAGGUUAGUGAAUGGAUGAAAAGAAAGGUGAAUUCCAUUUUUCUAUCCUUCCUACUAUUUAUGUGGCGGGAUAGAUUGUAGAGGAAGGAAACUGGGCAGAUCAAGCCCCUACUUCAUUUCCCUUGUCGCAUCCUCUGAAAUUGGUUGGAAGAACAGAUGGACACAUCCUUCUUUUUUGCCCCAAAAUGCCUUCUGGUUCUUCAUCUCCAUCAUUCUCAUUCCAUUCUUUGCCAUCUGCUGUCUCACCCGUCACACACAGGAAUAAUACAUGGGCUUUGGUUACCUCAUGCUAGCCAUACACACUUCGAGUUAUUGGCACUCUGGAGAAGAUGAAGAGCAAGAAAGGGCUUCCUUCUCUACUGCAGUAGUUCACAGCAGUCCUCUGCAAGUCUGGUUAGUAGUUGGGUUGUGAGGGGCAUAUAGGUGCUUGCUUUGGUAGAACAUGAACCUGCGCAUGCUAUCAGGUUGAAGGGUGACAGAAGCAAGAGUUAUGUGCAUGUAAAUGUUGACUAAGAAGUUGAUAUUGUCAAGAGUGUUGGAAUACAAGGCCAGCAUGCAGAUACAUUCCUCAUUUUUGAUCUCGCUGACAAAGGCAACUCGCUCAUCUAGCCAAGCCAUAAUGAUGGUGAUGUAGAUUGAGAUGCCAUUGGGGACCUUGAUGAAACCAGACACUUCAGCCACUGACAGCUGAGACAGUGGUCAUGAAGUCAAUGAGCCUCUCCCAGUCUCACAAUGAGGUCUUGUUCAAGAUCGCUGCAGUCUGAGUUGUGAAGAAGAGAUCCAAAGCAAAGGGAUGAUUAGUGGUAGGCUAAUUUGGUGAUCAAUUUAGAAUUAGUUAAAUAUAAAUUGUAGCAAUUAAAUAGUUAAUUGAAUUAAAUUUUGUGAUUUUAUUAUUGGACAAAACAAUAUGUUGCCGGAGAUUUUGGGAAUUAGCUGAAUUUAAAUACACAAAAUUAAAUUUAACUUAUCUGUCGAGAUGACAUGAGCAGAUAAUCUCACGUUGCCAGCAGGGGUUGUUUCUAUCAAGUGCUAAACGCAGAUGAGUGACCGACCAGGCGAGCGAGCAGUCGGACGGGCGAGUCGCAGACCAAGUGAUCGGCCGGCAGAGCGAGUAAGUGAACAAUCGGCUGAGCGAGAUGCGGUCGAACGGGCGUGCGACUGAACGAAUGUAGAGGUCGAGUGAGCUGCGGCCGGACGGGCGAGUAGCCGAGCAAAGAAGAGGACAGGUGAGCGAACGACCGAGCGAAUGAGCGAAUGGCUGAGCGGACCAAGAGUCUAAGCAGGUUUGUGACCGGACGAGUGAGCAGCCAAGCGAGCGGCCGAGCAGACCGAGCAAGCGAACUGAGCGACCGGACGGGCGUGCAGUCGACUGGACGAAAAUGCUGAUCGAGUUAGCGGCUGAGCGAACGCAGAGGCCGACCGAGUUAGCAUUCGAGCAAACGCAAAGUUCGAGCGGGCGAAUGGACUGAUGCAUGCAAGGGUCGCAGUUUCUUGAAACAAAUUCACCUCACCUCCGACUGUACUUCGAGAUUUCCUCGGGUCAUCUGUUUCCCAGAAUACAGCAGUGAACCCUGAUUCCCAUCAAACACUAAUAGUCAUGGCGAACUAAGAGGUACCCGACUGCUAUCACGGACACUCAGCCGAGCAAGAGAUGCACGACAGAGGAGAAGGGGAACAUAGGUAGAGAGCUUCAAUUUUUUGAGCGUGUAACCUUUUGCCUGUGGACGCAGUCUCCUUAUAUAGGAGCUAAAACCAAUGGACAACGUUAAUGAUUGUUUAAUGAUCAUUGUUCGCCAGCUGUGAAAUGCCAACGUUUCACUCGGCUGCAUUAAUUUUUAAUUUAAUGCAUCCGUUACUAUACCCUUAAAUAAGCAGAAAAAAAUUUAUGUGGUAAAAUGUUGGUUAUUCCACUUGGGUAAAUUUUAUCCAGACUGGUCCGACAUUUGGUGUGCUCACACACGAGUCAAUAUGAUUCAGUGCAAUCCAGACCCUGGAUUUGUACUACUUGUGCACCCAUGCGUGAGAGAGAUUCUCCCCAUGCAUUUGUUCACAUCAUCAAUGCAUGUGAAUCAAUAUAAACCAAAUAAUAUGCCUUGAAACUUCAAUGUAGGACUAACGUCUUAUUCACAAUGGAACUUCAUGCUUUUUCCAUCUCUUCUUCAUUUACAUAUAUCCAACAUAAUUAUGUUGUAUAAUCAACAUAUGUUAAAGCAUGAAUUUGGAUGGGCUUUGCUUAAUUUAGUCCUUUACCACUUAUAAUUUUUUUUUUUUCAUUAAAUUGGUUUUUUAGUAAUUGAAUUAGAAACAAAUUAAUUCAUCUUUUUCUUUAAUGUGAGUCAACAUGAAUUCAUAUAUAUUUGCGUCGAGUGUCAACACAACACAAUAGCCAUUGGCGCAAGCGACACGAGAGAUUACAGUGUUGAUCAUCGGAAUUAGGAAUGCCUAAUAUGGUACGAGAUUUCAAGCUUUGGCGCACACACAUAACGAAUAUUAUACUAUAUAUCUUAUCUGAUGCGAGUAGCUAACACAGGUUUGAAUCUAGUUGUCCACAAUCUUAUUUUACAUUUAACUUUUUAUGUUUUUGCAUAUGAAUGGGUGUAUUUGCAUUUGAGUUUAGUGUCACAUAGAGGGUUGUGCCUAAUGUAUGGAGGGAAAAUGAAGUCUGAUUUUUAGAGGCUCCAUCUAGUUGUAAUGCUAACAAAAGAUGAGAGGAUUCAACUACUAAUCUUACGGUCUCUUCAAGUUUCCUAGUUGUGCUUUAAUUCUAUUACUCGUGCACACUAAGAAUCAUAUGAAUUAGUAUAUUAGACAAAGAGUUUUUAUAUCCAAGAUAGAUCAUCUCAUAGAUUGAUGAUGGAACAGCGUCAGUCAUACAUUAUCAAUGACUCAGAGCUGGCUUUACUAGUGAGACAUGACUUUCCUCCUAACAAAUUUCGUGUCUAUUUGCACAUUUAUCAUGUGAUUUCCUUUCGUUUAACUAAAAUAUAUGGUCAUCGGUUAAGAAAAAAACUUUAGCAUACCAUUUAUUUGAAAGGGUAAAAUAAAAAAGAGAGGGUGGAUUAAAAAAAAAAGAGUAGAUUUGUAAGCUUAUCAGCAUUGCUGAUGUAGUUCUUUCCUGAACCUAUAUACUGGUUAUGGCCACUGGUAGUUUCUUGUUCCAGUACCAUUUUCUUUCAGGUUGGUUGAGAGAUGACUUUUUUUUUAACAGUUCCUGCAGUUGAAAGAGUAGUAUGCAACACAUGCUCAGUUUACCAAACAGAGAAUGAAGAUGUGAUUAAAAUCAGUCCUCCCUUUUGCAAAGUCGCUCAACUUUGAAUCGGUGUCUCCUUUCCCACAGUGGCCUCACCGCGGUCUGCCCAACUUUGAUGGUGCUGAGCACUUGUUAAGGACUGAUCCAAAAGAAGAUACACAAGGAUUCUUUACUGCAUUGUUUGUCAAGAAAUCUGGGAAAACAAACAGAGGGAACAGGCUAUCUUCAGCCAACAAGCUUACGAGACAGAAUAAAUACAUGCCUUAUUCCUUUUGUAAACUAUCGGCAUUUUGGUUCCAUAAACGAUUGACGAAGCAAGAAUCUAAGAAAAUAAAGCAUCGAAUGGUAGUUGGACUACCAUGCUCAAAUCCUGA
This is a long non-coding RNA of Zingiber officinale, 4992 nucleotides long. RefSeq lists it as uncharacterized. The transcript is spliced from 4 exons. The record is from RefSeq and is a predicted model, not a curated record. Lineage: Eukaryota; Viridiplantae; Streptophyta; Magnoliopsida; Zingiberales; Zingiberaceae.